RNAcentral lists this transfer RNA (67 nucleotides) under Catamblyrhynchus diadema. RNAcentral describes it as "tRNA-Cys". Lineage: Eukaryota; Metazoa; Chordata; Aves; Passeriformes; Thraupidae. The record is from RNAcentral.
CCCCGGCGCAUGUUUAAUGCACAUCGACGAGCUUGCAACCCACCAUGAAUUUCACUACAGGGCCGAU